GAUGAACGCUGGCGGCGUGCCUAAUACAUGCAAGUCGAGCGAACAGACGAGGAGCUUGCUCCUCUGACGUUAGCGGCGGACGGGUGAGUAACACGUGGAUAACCUACCUAUAAGACUGGGAUAACUUCGGGAAACCGGAGCUAAUACCGGAUAAUAUAUUGAACCGCAUGGUUCAAUAGUGAAAGACGGUUUUGCUGUCACUUAUAGAUGGAUCCGCGCCGCAUUAGCUAGUUGGUAAGUUAACGGCUUACCAAGGCAACGAUGCGUAGCCGACCUGAGAGGGUGAUAGGCCACACUGGAACUGAGACACGGUCCAGACUCCUACGGGAGGCAGCAGUAGGGAAUCUUCCGCAAUGGGCGAAAGCUUGACGGAGCAACGCCGCGUGAGUGAUGAAGGUCUUCGGAUCGUAAAACUCUGUUAUUAGGGAAGAACAAAUGUGUAAGUAACUAUGCACGUCUUGACGGUACCUAAUCAGAAAGCCACGGCUAACUACGUG
RNAcentral lists this ribosomal RNA (497 nucleotides) under uncultured bacterium. Its description in RNAcentral is "partial 16S ribosomal RNA". It matches the Rfam family "Bacterial small subunit ribosomal RNA", at positions 28 to 507 of the family's 1533-position model. The record is from RNAcentral.